This 402-nucleotide ribosomal RNA is filed under the name uncultured bacterium. RNAcentral's name for it is "bacterial SSU rRNA". It matches the Rfam family "Bacterial small subunit ribosomal RNA", at positions 355 to 774 of the family's 1533-position model. The record is from RNAcentral.
UGGGGAAUAUUGGACAAUGGGCGCAAGCCUGAUCCAGCCAUGCCGCGUGAGUGACGAAGGCCUUAGGGUUGUAAAGCCCUUUUGGCGGGGAAGAUAAUGACGGUACCCGCAGAAUAAGCUCCGGCUAACUUCGUGCCAGCAGCCGCGGUAAUACGAAGGGAGCUAGCGUUGUUCGGAAUCACUGGGCGUAAAGCGCACGUAGGCGGACUUUCAAGUCAGGGGUGAAAUCCCGGGGCUCAACCUCGGAACUGCCUUUGAUACUGUUGGUCUCGAGUCCGGAAGAGGUGAGUGGAAUUCCUAGUGUAGAGGUGAAAUUCGUAGAUAUUAGGAAGAACACCGGUGGCGAAGGCGGCUCACUGGUCCGGUACUGACGCUGAGGUGCGAAAGCGUGGGGAGCAAACA